Molecule: long non-coding RNA, 496 nt
Organism: Pseudophryne corroboree (corroboree frog)
Lineage: Eukaryota; Metazoa; Chordata; Amphibia; Anura; Myobatrachidae
Exons: 2
Source: RefSeq, a predicted model, not a curated record
AUCUGUCAUGAACUUUAUUCUAGUUUCAGCAGAGACGUUUCCUUCAUAUCGAAUUUGAUAAGAGACAACACUUAAAUGAAAAAUACAUAAUUACCGCCAUGUAGAAGUUUGAAACACCAAGGUCCUACCUUCCAUAUCCAGCUUCAUACAGGAACUGCGGCACUUGGGUGGUUUUUCCACUUCCAGUUUCACCACAUAAAACCACAACUGGGUUUUCGUGAAUGGCUUCCAUAAUGACUUGUUCUUCACCCAGGAUUGGAAGUUUUAACCUGGCCUCCUGCAUGAAAUAAUAAGUGUUGAGGAGCAGAAGUUCUGUAAUAAAUGUACAAUAGCCGUUUCAUAUUAAAAUUGCAUGCUAAAAUCUCUAUGCCUUUGUAAACAUUAAGGAGUGAACUCAUAAAAAUAGCUGAAAGCUUAAUCUCUUAUAUAAAGAUGGUAUUAAGUCUGCUUGCAGGGACCACCAAUCACUAAAUAAAAUAACUUUUUUCAGUCUCAA